RNAcentral lists this ribosomal RNA (389 nucleotides) under uncultured Glomeromycotina. RNAcentral's name for it is "partial large subunit ribosomal RNA". Lineage: Eukaryota; Fungi; Glomeromycota. The record is from RNAcentral.
UUGAAAGGGAAACGAUUGAAGUGGAAACGAUUGAAGUCAGUCGUGCCGACGAAAACUCAGUUCUUCGAGUGCGAGUUCGUGUGUGCGGGGAGUUUAACCGCCUCCGUUGCGUGUGAUACUCGUGCUUCUAGGGCGUAUUUUUUCGUAUGGUAGGUCAGCAUCGAUUUCGAUCGCCAUAAAAUGGCCGGAGGAAUGUAGCUCCGAUCUUGUAUUGGAGUGUUAUAGCCUUUGGUAGAUGUGGUGGUUGGGAUCGAGGAUUGCAAUGAACCCCUUUGGGCUAUCCGUCUGACCUCUGAAAGUCAUUUGGGUGCCGAAAGCUUGCUUACGGUUAUUCAAAUUGGCGGUCUAAAGGUUAGAACGCGAUUAUAUUCGUUAAGGAUGUUGACGUA